CCGUAGGUGAACCUGCGGAGGGAUCAUU
This 28-nucleotide ribosomal RNA is filed under the name Ulva pertusa. Its description in RNAcentral is "partial 18S ribosomal RNA". Lineage: Eukaryota; Viridiplantae; Chlorophyta; Ulvophyceae; Ulvales; Ulvaceae. The record is from RNAcentral. RNAcentral also lists the same sequence under 7 other names.